CAGACCCAUGUACACAGGCACAGAAGGUCCUUCACACCUGCUUUUCUGAGUCAGAACCCUGUUUCCUAGUUGUUCAGCUCUGCAGACACAGAAGAGCCAGUACUGCAGCAGUCUCUGCAGACACAUGACUUGCUGUGAAUAAUUACUUAUUUUGUCUUUUCUAGGCUUCUGCAACGUUAACUUCAUUCAAACUGGUGAGCAGCCUCGAGGUGGGCAAUGUGGAGGUUAUUUGCCUAAGGAGGAAUGCGGAGCUCGGAGAACUCCAGCAGCUUGCUCAAGAUCACACAGCAACUUAAUGGCCAAACUGGAACCAAGGGCCAAGACUCAGAACUUCCAGGGCAAUGUGAGUCUCCUACAAAACACCCUCAGAAGGAGUUCCCUUCGUGGCACAGUGGUAACGAACCCGACUAGGAUCCACGAGGUUGCGGGUUCGACCCCUGGCCUCGCUCCGUGGGUUAAGGAUCCGGCGUUGCUGUGAGCUGUGGUGUAGGUUGCAGAUGUGGCUCAGAUCCUGCGUUGCCGUGGCUGUGGUGCAGGCUGGUGGCUGCAGCUCCGAUUGGACCCCUAGCCUGGGAACCUCCAUAUGCCAAGGGUACAGCCCUAAAAAGCAAAAACAAACAAACAAAAAAACCCGAAAACAAAAACAACAACAACAAAAAACACAGCCUCGGAAGGAAAGGGGACACUGAAGGGCAGGAUUUAGUUUCUUCAUUUCCCUUCAAUAACUAGGCCCCUAACUCGGUCUUUGACGAGGAGGUGACAGUGACACAAUACGUCUGAACUUAGCGGAGCAGGGCAGCAGACCAGCAGGCAGAUUACAUCCUGGUGGCUACACAUGAUGGAAAACCGUGGAACAGAUGCCAGGGCAGCUGGCUGGGUGGUAGCUGGUGGGAAAUCGGUAACCACGGGACCUUGGCGAAUCGGUUUUUACAUAGAAGGAUGCUGUGUCCCCUGAGUUUUAUUGCUAAGACAGAACAACUUGAGUUCCCCUGCCACCUCUUCUGGGAAUGACUCUCUUCCCAACUCGGGGUGCUCACCUCCAGGGUAGCUCUCAGAGCGGUAACUUGGUCCGAAGGGGCAGCGCUAGUUCCAUCUCCUGAAGGAGAAAAACCUUUACCUUUAGGCAACCUGCAGUUGCUGAGGCUGCCACAUGGGGGCACUGUUGAAACGGAGCAGCUCUGUUGCCUAGAGGCAGUGCCCCGGGACCACCAGGCCACCACUGGUCUCCAGGACUGUCAGCAAUACCCGGCCCUAGGCACAGCCCCUGCCCUCUAAAUAAAUGGCCUUAUUGACCAGAGCACAUUCCCUCUGGCUGGUCCUGCCUGUGCUUCCCAAGGGGAUUUGGGAGAAGACUUUCUUGCAGAGUCCACGACGCAGAGGCCUGGACACCCAGCUCGGUGUUUCCACACACACUCAAACCUGGUCGCCUCACUUCCGAGGCCUGCCAGCAGUGUGCCAAGGUCGUGGGUUGGGAUGGGUUUGCAGGCCCAGGGAUAAAGUUGCCCUCUCUAGGCUCACUGGCGGAUAGCUCUUGGUUUGGGGCUGUACACUGCCCGUCUCUCUCCUGAAAGCAUCCCAGUUUCAUGAGUGGAAAUUGCCCCUCCCUGGCUGUCUUGGGGCAGGGGCACUUCUUGGCUCCUUCCUCCUACCACCGGCCUCCCCCCGCUGAAGUCAGAGAGGUCAGAUCCCUCCUCUCCUCACCUGGCUGCGUCAGUGGGGCGUCAGACGCUCUCCGCCGUGGCCUUCCAUUCUGCCAGAGCCAGUUCUCUUCGUGGCAAUAGCCGUUGUGUGUCACUGAUGCCGUCCUGACCUCUGUCCUGGUCAAAGGAGGUGGCCGGUGUUCCUCCUUCCUGCGUCUUGACCCACAGCGUUUCCUUGAUUCCUGCUGACCUAAGCCUGCGCUUCUGGUCUUUCAUCAGUUGUGUUAGCUCCCAGUGGCCUCCAAAAGAAAAAAAAGUCCCCUGCUGUCUCACUUCUGGUGCUCACACCGUGAAUACCGGGGGGGGAUGUCACCCCCAAGAACGGAGGUUCACGCUUUCACUCCUGACUCACCCCCGUUUGCUCCUGAGGACAGUCUGGGUGCCCCCCCCGCCCCGCCCCAGCAAAUCCCACUUACCCUAACCCUUCCCCGAUAAGGCAGACACAAAGGCGCGUGCUCCCCAGAUGUGGUCAGUGUUGGCGCGGGUGGUGAGACGGCUGGAGGCUCCGUUUCCCUCGAAAGCUCGCACUUGUCCCGUAGAAGAAUUUUCCCGUUUCCAUACGCUCCACUGGGUCGAUGAGAAGCAACAGCGUCUCUCUGUGUUUGUUCAAGGGCGGUGAGACAAACUGAAACAAUAACGCUCUUUUUGGUGCUGAAGGCGGCAGCCCCGUCCCCGCGCGGGUGUCCUUGAGAAGGGGACUCUCGGUGUGUGGCACCGCCCGCUGGCUGUUAUCGCCCGCCUCCUGGGUGGAUUUAUUGACAGAGCCAAGGGCAGAUCUCCCAGGCUUUGUGGCAGGCAUGUCUCAGGACACGUCCUCAGCCUCCUGUGCCCCAGGUCCCCCCACGCGCACCAGGAGGGAAACGGCACCGAACGACGCUAGGAGUUCUGCUGCUCGGUUCUGGGGCCUCUUGGAAGGUCAUUGCCUGGUGGGAGCCACACCCAGGAGAGAGCCCGGCGUCCCACUGUCUGGGUGGGAAGCGUUUAGUUGUGUCCCGGUGGACGGCACUUUUUGAGUUGCACACAGCAAAGCCCACCCCAAGCCGGCUUAAGCAAAAAGGGAAUUGAUUGCAAUCUGGUUGAUUUACAGUGUUACAGUAGUUUCAGGCGUACCACGAAGCGCUUCGAUGUUUUUGUCAAUUACACUCCAUCUAAAGGUUUUACAAGAUAAUGGUUAUAUUCCCUGUGAUGCACAAACAAGGGAAUGUAUUGACUCGUCUAACAGAAACACUGGCAUCUAAAUUCAGGCUUAGCUGGAUGCAGGGGCUAAGGAAGUGUUGUCAGGAUUCGGUCUCUCUCAGUCUCUUCUUCCGCCUCCUUUGCCUGCUUCAUCCUCAGGCACGCUUUUCCCACGCAAGACAAGCUGGGUGCCAGCAGCGCCAGGCUUGCAUCCUACCAGCUUAGCACUUCUUCCCAAGGGUUCCGGCGCGAGUCCAGGGCUGACUCUCCCUGGAGGGCCAAGUGACAUGCCCAUUGCUGGAACCACCCGCUCUCGGGAGCCAAGCUGCAGCCUCUGCUGAUCAGCCAGACUUGGUCCUGUUCUCGCUCCUGGAGUUGGGGGGCAGGGGGAGCCUCACUUCCACCUAUGACCCAAGAUGCAAGGCAGGGUGGCUCACUAAAGACAGGUCAGGAGCUGUGACCAGAGUGGGGAAUGACGCCGGGAGCGAAAAGACCCUCAGGCCCCACGCGGGUUCGUCUGGAUGGGUGGUUACCCAAGAGCGUGGCCCAGACUCGCAGCAUCCACCUCCCGUGGAAACUUGGGAGGAAGGCAGGUCCGUGGGCCCCACUGCAGACCCGCCUCAUGGAAGCGGUCUCCCCAGGUGAUCCAGAUGCAUGUUAAAGUUUGAAAACCACGCGUGCAGACCGGGGGGCUGGCCACCCUGACUUCAGUUAGAAUCACCAGGGGAGCUUCUAAGCUGCCUGGACCCCACUCCCAACCAACCGGAUCAUGACAAGGAGUACGGGGGGUGGGCUCCAGUCAGCGGUGCUUUUGACAUGUUCCACCAAGUGGUUCCAAUGGGGCCAAGCGCGACAGGGGCCCUGAGCUCAAAGGAACACUUGUUCUCGGUACUAUUUGUGCAGUGGACAUGAACGAGGGUGUGGACUGUCCCUCUGCUGCGGAUGGUGGCUUAGUAAAGGAGUGACUUGAGAGGUGGCACCUGCAGCCAAGCCAACGGAAACAACAAGGUGGGGGAUGGGAAUUCCCAUCGAGGCUCAGUGGCAACGAACCUGACUAGUAACCAUGAGGACACAGGUUCCAUCCCUGACCUCACUCAGCAGGUUGAGGAUCCAGCGUUGCCGUGAGCUAUGGGGUAGGUCCCAGAUAUGGCUCAGAUCCCGCAUUGCUGUGGCUGUGGUGUAGGCUGGCAGCUACAGCUCUGAUUUGACCCCUAGCCUGGGACGCUCCAUGUGCCGCAGGCGCAGCACUAAGAAGCAAAAUACAUAAAUAAAUAUUCUAAAAAAAAAAAACCAAAACCCAAAACAAAGUGAGGGAUGCAGGAGCCACUCAGCUGCAUGGAGUCUGAACUGGGAGUUCCCUGUGCUGUGAUAAAUGCGUCUUUACACCCUCACGGCUGAUUCAUUAAAGAGGAGGAGCAUGGAAGGGGGGAAUCAGAGGCACGGUUUAGUGAGUGCUUCCUGAAUUUGCUGACUUAAAUCUGACCUAGCCCCGUGCAGGAAGUGCUACUAACCCUAGCUGUAAUUCUGGGAGGCAGGUAACAUUACCCCUCCAGGGAGGAGAGCCUUGGGGUCAAAGAGAGCUCAGUGGCCGAGCUGGGACUUGCGUCUAGAGCUGUCGGGUUCCGAGACAGUGGGGUUCUCCAGUUAGGAGCAGGGCAUCUUGGGGAGGGGGUUAGAGGCAAAUUCUCUGAUUCCACGUGUUGUGAGGAAAGAGCACUGGCCUGGAAUCAGCCCCUGGGCUGCUCUCCCAGCGCCGCUCUUGCCUGGAGGUGGGACCCGGAGCACGUCACUUCCCUGGCUGGGGCCUCAGUCUCCUGACUUGUACAACAGGACAGCUUAAACCACCCCUGAGGUCUUGUCUUGUCUUUCUUCCUGGCUGGCUUUCUUUCUUUCCCCAUUCUUUUUGGAUGACGGUGUCAGGAAGUUUCCUGCAGAAGAGGUUUCCUCCUUCCCAGGAUCCUAAGACCUGUGUGGGAAGACUCCUGUGUUCCAGCCUGAGCAGGUGUUCGAGUCAUUCUGCUGUUGACUAAAACAUGGCUCCCUAGACCCGGAGUAAAUGAUUCCUGAUUUCCUGGAGUUCUCUUGCGGCGCCGCUGAUUAAGGAUUCAGCAUUGUCACUGCAGCAGCUCUGGUCACUGCUGGGACACAGGUUUGAGCCCUGGCCCAGGAACUUCCACAUACCGCAGGUGCAGCAAAAACCAAGAAACCAAAAAACCUGGAAGGAUUCCUGAUUUCCUAAGGCUUAGAGUCAGCACAGCUCAGGACUGCAGAAGUCACAGGACCUGACGCCAGCAUUUAUCCGUCACUGCUGCGCUCAGCUGCGUGCUGGGCAGUGAGGAAGACACAGAAAUGAUGGGGCAUCACCUGCUGCCAAAGAGGAGGGGCGCAGUUAGGAUGUGCUCCUGCAGAAGAACGCUCGGCCUGACAAACCUCAAGUGUGUGACGGCUUCCUCUGAGGGCGGCUCGCUGCGGAGCGUCGGGUCAGAUGGCCCCGGUGGGAAAGAUAGAGUUGGAAUACGUGUAAUUCGUGCAAUUAAAAGCCAAGAACGCACCCUUUCCAGAGCUGCGUGUUCCGCGAGCUUGGGGGCUCCGCCCGGGACCCACUGGCACAGGACCUGGCCCUCUGUGGCUGCUCAUCCCAUUGCUGAAUGAGUGCGAGGGCCCAGGAGACGUGUGUGCAGGAUGAAGCAGGGCACUCACGGGACCGCGGCGUUUGGAGGGUGCUGGGGUGGGGGCGAGGGCGCCCUGGGAAGAAGCGGGAGAAGGCACACGCUCCCUGCUGUCCUCCCGGCCCAAGGCUGCCAGCCCCCCCGUGGCCUCUGUGCUCCGUGGUUGAGGGGCCGAGCCUUCUGGAGAGCCAGAGGCGUUUCAGCAUCUCCCUGCUCCCCUCCCCCACUCAGCGCCCCUAGUUUUUGUCCUUCGCAGCCUCUCUUGAAGGCACUAGCUGGGGGCUUGUGCAAACCAGCUGUGCCUGAUUUUCCCCAGAACUGCUUUCUCAGCAAAGGCCAUCUGUGGGAAGAAGCUCCUCCCGUCCAGAGCUGCUAGAACCCUCUGCCGAGGACCAGGCCUGUGGCGGCUGCGGCAGAAGCACAUGGAGGCUCAGGAGGCCAAGUGCUUGGCUCCAGGGACAUCUGGCCACAGACGUGUCUCUCACGUGGGCAAACCGAGGGCACCCCUUGUUGGUAUGUCCUCCUUCCCCUGUGAAAGAUGACAUGAGUGGAGCCAUUUAAAAUAGAGCUGGAGGAGUUGAAGUCGUGGUGCAGUGGAAAUGAGUCUGAUGAGCAUCCAUGAGGACGCAGGUUCGAUCCCUGGCCUCGCUCCGUGGGCUAAGGACCAGGCAUUGCCGUGAGCUGUGGUGUAGGUUGCGGAUGUGGCUCGGAUUUGGCGUUACUGUGGCUGCGGUGUAGGCCAGCCACUACAGCUCCGAUUCAACCCCUAGCCUGGGAACCCCCAUAUGCCACGGGUGCGGCCCUAAAAAGCAAAUAAAUAAGUAAAUAAAAAUUAAAAACAAAUAAAAUAAAAUAGAGCUGGAGGAGUUCCCAUCAUGGUGCAGCAGGUUAAGGACCUGGCACUGCCACUGCUGUGGCUCAGGUCACUGCUAUGGCACAGGUUCGGUUCCUGGCCUGGGAAUGUGCACAUGCUACAGGCACGGCCAAAAAAAAA
This 6539-nucleotide long non-coding RNA is filed under the name Sus scrofa (pig). RNAcentral describes it as "lncRNA (ENSSSCG00030039158.1)". Lineage: Eukaryota; Metazoa; Chordata; Mammalia; Artiodactyla; Suidae. The record is from RNAcentral.